This 493-nucleotide ribosomal RNA is filed under the name uncultured bacterium. RNAcentral's name for it is "bacterial SSU rRNA". It matches the Rfam family "Bacterial small subunit ribosomal RNA", at positions 28 to 531 of the family's 1533-position model. The record is from RNAcentral.
GAUGAACGCUGGCGGCGUGCCUAACACAUGCAAGUCGAGCGGGGUAUACGGAGCAGCUUGCUGCACUGUAGACCUAGCGGCGGACGGGUGAGUAACGCGUGGGUAACCUGCCUUACACAGGGGGAUAACACUGGGAAACCAGUGCUAAUACCGCAUAACAUCAUUUUAUGGCAUCAUGAAAUGAUCAAAGGAGAAAUCCGGUGUAAGAUGGGCCCGCGUCCGAUUAGCUAGUUGGUGAGGUAAUGGCUCACCAAGGCAGCGAUCGGUAGCCGGACUGAGAGGUUGGCCGGCCACAUUGGGACUGAGACACGGCCCAGACUCCUACGGGAGGCAGCAGUGGGGAAUAUUGCGCAAUGGGGGGAACCCUGACGCAGCGACGCCGCGUGAAGGAAGAAGGCCUCGGUGUAACUCUUGAUUGGGAAGAAAAUAGACGGUACCCAAAGAACAAGACCACGGCUAACUACGUGCCAGCAGCCGCGGUAAAGUACUCUAU